Molecule: long non-coding RNA, 1489 nt
Organism: Girardinichthys multiradiatus
Lineage: Eukaryota; Metazoa; Chordata; Actinopteri; Cyprinodontiformes; Goodeidae
Exons: 7
Source: RefSeq, a predicted model, not a curated record
UUUGGGAUUAAUAAAGUAUUUUUGAAUUGAAUUGAAUUGAAUUGUCCUGUUGAAAAGUCCAGAGAGAAAUUACGUUCAAGCACUUAUAGUUGAAUCUGACUUGAAACCAUCCGGUUCAUGAAGCACAGCAGAGAGCAGCAUGUCUGUUACGUAACCAACAAUAACCUCUAAUGGAGCAGCUGGCAAUUAAGCAGGUUAUCCGUCUCUUCUUUGUGUGUUGCCUCGCUCUCUUCUUGUGCACGCCGUUGAGCAGUCUCCUUCUUCAGCAGCUGUGAUCCAAAGUUACUCCUUGAACAGGUUUGGUACUGGGCCUGGGUUUCCUUUAGGUGUUCAUCCACAGCCUAAAAGCACAUGCUGGGUGUUUUUAAAUGACCAGAAUCCAGUUUCUACUGGGCAAGGGAUUGUGCCUCCAUCCAGUAGCCCUCAAGCUUCUCCAUCCUCUCCUUGCUGUCUCUGAUGUUUUGCUCCAACUGAGCGCGCUCCAUCCGCCAACGCAACUUCUCCUGCUCUGCAUGAGCCAGCUGGAGACGUAUGGCCAGAAAGGCUCUACAAGCGGACAUGUGAGGCUUUCUCUGUGGUUUGGAUGUGAAAUAUAAAUCUGAGAUGCACACCUGCAGCACGUGCCGUUUUAAAACUGUUUAACUGCAACAGCUAAAAUGCCUCAGGCCAUUUCUGUACUUUACGCUGCCCUGAGGCAACACAAUAGAGAACAGCUCUACAAGCUCCAAGUUGAACAAUGUCCCGACACCAGGCUGAAGCCCAUCAUUUCCUGGACAAUGAGGAAUUUAUACCUACUUCAAGUUGUAAAGAAUGCACUCAGAUGCACCAACAUGCAAGGCCAGCCGGACCAAAAGCCUCAACACAGAUGCUCAGAUUAAAGCACGUUCUAAGACUGUGCAGGAUCUUCUAAAAGUAUUCAAAUCCCUUGUACAUGUUUUUGGGGGAAGGAAGUGGAGGGAAUUGACACAUGGUUUUUCAGGUGCUUUACAGAACCACCUUUAAUGGCUAUUACAUGUGCAAGUGUGACUUUGACUGGGACAUUAUAAAAGAUAAACAUGAUUUAAUCUAAACAGUUCCACUGUGGCUCUGGCUGCAUGUUUACGAUCGUUGACCUGUUGGAAGGUGAACCACUGCCCAGUCCCAAGUCUGCUGCAGCCUCUAACACUUUUUCUUGCUUCAUCCAUCUUUCCAUCAACUUUGAUCAGCUUCCCUGUCCACGUUCCCACAGCAUGAUGCUGCCACCAUCUCCUUUCCCCAUUGGGAUGGUGUGCUCAAUGGGACGUUUUGGGAGGUUUGCAGUUGUGCCAUACUCUGAUGCUGUUUGUUUGUAAUGUUUUCUAACAAAACUCUGAGGCCUUCUCAGGAUGGUUGGAAUUUUACUGACAUUAAGUUACACUCAGAGGGACUCUAUUUUAAAACUUUACAUGGCAGGAGUCAUUCAUGCUCUCUAAGAAUGUUUUACCAUCUUUUCAUAUUUAAAAAAAGUAUG